This 202-nucleotide ribosomal RNA is filed under the name uncultured bacterium. Its description in RNAcentral is "partial 16S ribosomal RNA". It matches the Rfam family "Bacterial small subunit ribosomal RNA", at positions 1300 to 1500 of the family's 1533-position model. The record is from RNAcentral.
GUAGUCUGCAACUCGACUACAUGAAGCUGGAAUCGCUAGUAAUCGCGAAUCAGAAUGUCGCGGUGAAUACGUUCCCGGGUCUUGUACACACCGCCCGUCACACCAUGGGAGUUGGCAACGCCCGAAGUCAGUGACCCAACCAUAAAGGAGGGAGCUGCCGAAGGCGGGGCUGAUAACUGGGGUGAAGUCGUAACAAGGUAAC